GAAGAAUAUAAACUUUCUAGAACAAAACAUGCUGAGGAUGGCUUUCAGCUGCCACGUUUCUUAGCUUAAGCCAAGUGCCUUGGAAGUGCAGUAUUUUCAGAAACAGCAAACAUACACAUAAUAUAAUAUAGACAUAUUUCAAGUGAACCUGCAGGGUUUUUACUUAUUCUGCUAUACGCACAGUAGAUUCUGCAAGAACAAAGACUGAAUUUGGCACUUUAUUGAGAUGUAGAUAUUCAACAGCAGGAAAUAAUCUUCCUUGAAAGAAACCCCUAUUUCCGUCCUCCUUUUUUUAUACAUCCUUUAGUAGCUGAUCA
Molecule: long non-coding RNA, 317 nt
Organism: Empidonax traillii (willow flycatcher)
Lineage: Eukaryota; Metazoa; Chordata; Aves; Passeriformes; Tyrannidae
Exons: 3
Source: RefSeq, a predicted model, not a curated record